This 549-nucleotide ribosomal RNA is filed under the name uncultured bacterium. RNAcentral's name for it is "partial 16S ribosomal RNA". The stretch from base 8 to 223 matches the Rfam family "Bacterial small subunit ribosomal RNA", at positions 106 to 311 of the family's 1533-position model. The record is from RNAcentral.
CGGGUACGGGUGCGAACCNCGUGUUGCACUGGCUUUAACCGGGGGGUNNAACUUUCGGAAAGGUAUNACAAUACCCCAUAAUAUGUUGAAUGGCAUCAUUCGACAUUGAAACUCCGGUGGAUAGAGAUGGGGCACGCGCAAGAUUAGAUAGUUGGUGAGGGUAACGGCUCACCCAAGUCUACGAAUCUUUUAGGGGGGCCCUGGAGAGGGGUUGAAUCCCCCCAAAAACUUGGGUUACUGAAGAAACACGGGAACCAAGACCUCCCUUACGGGGAAGGGCAAGCAAGUGAGGAAUUNUUUGGGACAAAUGGGGUGAGAAGCCUGAAUCCCAGGCCAUUCCCCGCGUGAAAGGGACNGACUUGGCCCUAUGGGGGUUGUNAACUUCCUUAUUGGUAUAGGGGAUAAAACCUUACCCUUCGGUGCAGGGGUUAACCUGANAAGGGUACUUAUACGCAUUAAAGCCACCGGGCUAAACUCCGGUGCCAGCAAGCCGACGGGUUAAAUUACCCGGGAGGGGUCGCCAAAGGCGGUUAAUCCCGGGAUUCUUCA